RNAcentral lists this non-coding RNA (25 nucleotides) under Cricetulus griseus (Chinese hamster). The record is from RNAcentral. RNAcentral also lists the same sequence under 1 other name. Lineage: Eukaryota; Metazoa; Chordata; Mammalia; Rodentia; Cricetidae.
ACCUUGGUGCAAUUUUUGGAAAAAC